Molecule: long non-coding RNA, 529 nt
Organism: Pipistrellus kuhlii (Kuhl's pipistrelle)
Lineage: Eukaryota; Metazoa; Chordata; Mammalia; Chiroptera; Vespertilionidae
Exons: 4
Source: RefSeq, a predicted model, not a curated record
GACCGCGCAGGGGCUGCCGGGUAGACGCCGGAGUGGCAGCUGUGGGCUUAGCGCCUAUUGAGUGCAGACAGUGUUCCAGCGUCCUGCAAGAGGUUAGCCCCUGCGGGGACCCGGGAAGGGAAGAAGAAAGUUGCUUCCCAGCCCAGCAUCUCCAAAAAUCUCACUGGUUAGAAACUCAGACCCCCCGUUCCCACGCCCGGCCUGAUAAAUCAAAAUCUGCGCGGCGAGGACCCAGAAUCUGGAUGUCACCAGAUCCUGAACUUCUGGGGACUGCUGAGUAAGAACUAGAACCUGACAGACUUCACACCCCGCACACCUCCAAUGGAUGAAAUGGAUGAAGGGGGUCAGAAGGUCAUUUGCCAUAGAUGUCCAAAAGGAGAACUGCUUUGUCAAAAGGCUCGCCCUUGGCCUCCCGCCCAGCUGCCAGUGGCCAGCAGGAAGCUGGAAGUGCGCACCCUUCUCCAGUCUCGGCAUGACAGCCCAGGGCAGGGCACCUACCCGCGUUCCUAGCUGUGAUCUUGGAGCCGUG